AUUAUCUGUGCGCUCAGCUGAAAAUAAAUUGAGCAGUUCACUCCUCAUAAUGGUAUUUUCAUGGAAAUUUACGGAAAUAUAUUUUCGUAACAAGCUAAACAUGUCAAGUUUUGUCAUUAGCUCACACACACCUCCAGUGUAGCCACGCCACAUUUUGUUCAGAUGACCUGGAACAGGAGGAUUUAACUGGCUAGUAAUAUCAGCACGACACAUUUUCAAAAGACAAUCUUGGACCAUCAUCCUCGACCAACUUAAAGAUUGACCACUGGAAGGCUGCUGCUGCCAAGACUGUUUUUAAAGAACUACCGAAACCCAAGCAAACAAAACCGCUGCCUUCCCUUCCGCUCUUCACGGAAUCACCGUCUUAAACGAAGAAAGCAAAGCGGGCAACCCAAAGAUCAGCAGAAAUGUCCAUCGACUUUUACGGCUGGGAGGUGACUUACGAUGACGUCCAGCACCUGCAGGCGCAACAGCAGCCCAAAUCGGGCAGGCUCUACAUCAUGUAGAGGCAUGAAGUCCGUGCCCAGCAGCCUGGAAGAGGACUGCGUGUGGGACGUCAGUCGCAUCGAGGUGAUCGACAUCCUCGAACUGAGGGGUCUGAUUGCCCAGAAGGCACAGGGCAGAAUGGCUGGUAAUGGUCAGAGAUCGGAGGGAACGUGCCAGAUCUGCAAAAGGCGACGCCAUCCCCUCACACCACAGAGAGGUGUUGGGGCUGUGGAGCGAACAUCUGCAUCCUCAUGAACAAACAUUUCUGCCAGGUGGGAAGCUGAGAGCUGUGGCAGAGUGUGGCUGAGCACAUACAAAUCUUGUGUAUCAAAUCACAAAUCAGGGGCGACAUGGCUCAGGCAGUAAGAGCAGUCGUCUGGCAGUCGGAGGGUUGCCGGUUCGAUCCCCUGCCCGGGCUGUGUCGAAGUGUCCCUGAGCAAGACACCUAACCCCUAAAUGCUCCUGACGAGCUGGUCGGCGCCUUGCAUGGCAGCCAAUCGCCGUUGGUGUGUGAGUGUGUGUGUGUGCGGCUGUGCAGAGCUUAUUGUGGCUACACCGGGGAUCGACCCUCCGACCUUGCGGGUCUCAGUUAUGUACCUUAACCACUAUGCAACAGGCCACCGAGAUACCCCUGUUCUGAACCAGGAAGAGUAGCUUCUCAUUUCAGUUAAAUCAAAUGACAUGAUUUACUUCUCUCUGUGCAAUAUAAACAAAAAUG
Conger conger (European conger) is the source of this 1204-nucleotide long non-coding RNA. RefSeq lists it as uncharacterized. The record is from RefSeq and is a predicted model, not a curated record. Lineage: Eukaryota; Metazoa; Chordata; Actinopteri; Anguilliformes; Congridae. The transcript is spliced from 3 exons.